This 77-nucleotide non-coding RNA is filed under the name Desulfamplus magnetovallimortis. The record is from RNAcentral. Lineage: Bacteria; Pseudomonadati; Thermodesulfobacteriota; Desulfobacteria; Desulfobacterales; Desulfobacteraceae.
UUGAGCCGUGUGAGGUGAAAGUCUCAUGCACGGUUCUUAGGGGUGCGCUCUUUAACGAUAUAAGGUAUUGAUUCUAU